RNAcentral lists this ribosomal RNA (468 nucleotides) under uncultured bacterium. RNAcentral's name for it is "partial 16S ribosomal RNA". It matches the Rfam family "Bacterial small subunit ribosomal RNA", at positions 28 to 507 of the family's 1533-position model. The record is from RNAcentral.
GACGAACGCUGGCGGCGGGCUUAACACAUGCAAGUCGAACGGAAAGGCCCGGCUGUUUGCGGGUGCUCGAGUGGCGAACGGAUGGGUAACACGUGAGUAACCUGCCUGUGCCUUUGGGGUAACUUCAGGAAACUGGGGCGAAUACCGAAUAGGAGCGCCUGCUGCAUGGUGGGGGUUGGAGAGGUUCGGCGGUUGGUGAUGGACUCGCUGGUUUUCAGAUUGUUGGUUGGUGAGUCGCUUACCAAGGCUGUGACGGGUAGCAGGCCCGAGAGGGGGACUGGGCCACUUGGGAGUGUCCUACGGGCGAGACCACUAAGGGAGGCAGCAGUGGGGACUAUUGCCUAAUGGGCGGAAGCCUGAUGCAGCAACGCUGCGUGAGGGAUGACGGCCUUCGGGUUGUCAACCGCUUUCGCCUGUGCCUAAGAGUGAGUGCAGGUACUGUGUAAAGAAGCACCGGCUAACUCCGUG